Molecule: long non-coding RNA, 3043 nt
Organism: Quercus lobata
Lineage: Eukaryota; Viridiplantae; Streptophyta; Magnoliopsida; Fagales; Fagaceae
Exons: 12
Source: RefSeq, a predicted model, not a curated record
GAGGCAUUAAAUUUUGAUGAUGUUGGAGCAUUUGCAGAGGAGCUGUGGUAACUUUUCAUCGUCUUAAGAACUGAGAUUCUAGAACAAGAACUGCUACUACUUAUCUGCAAUGAUGGAGGUGCUCCCUUUCUGUGGAAAGCUAGAUGGAAGUGUCCUGGAAUGGUUGUUGAAGCCAGAUGUUUUGUUUCUUACUGGUUGCUUUGCAAGGGAUAUGGAAUCAGCAAGACUGGUCAUUGGUAGAAGAUUCUUCAUAGUCCAAGAAUCACGAUGGAGGGAAUUUAAAAUUGAUUCCAAUGAAAUUGUUUCAUAGAAAUUUUAAAUUCUUUUUUAUCAGCAAAUACUUUUCCAAUGUCAAGGAUGCUUCACGAUUAUUUGGGGCUGGGGUAAUUUUUUAUCUCUUCAAGAACGGAAGUUCAAGAGCAGGAGUGCUACUACCUACCAGCAAAGCAGGUGGCACACUCACUUUCCAUGGAAAGCUAAAUGAAGAACUGAAGCUUGAAUUGUUACUAAAAAUUGUUGAUGGAAGCUUUAAUUUUCUACGGUUAUGCAAAACCGUGGAGGCAUGGAGUAAAUUUGAAGCAAUUAGCAUACGUAUUUCAACAAUUAUGCACAACUGUUUGAGAAAAACCUAUUCCAUUUUUCCCGUUUGGUAGAUCGAUUUCCUUCGAUUUCGACUGUUUGGAUGGAAAAUUUCUUGAAUUUUGAGGCUUCAAUCUGGAACUCUGGUGAAUGUACAAAAUUCUAGUUCAAGGCUUUAGAAGUUGAUCUUGAAGCUUAAGGAUGAUGGGUGCUUGAGUUCAUCCUUAGUAAAUUGAGAAGCCACGAAGUUUGCAAAUGAUUGGAAAAAAGAAGAGAGACGAUCCUUCAGAGGUCCUGGCCUUUCUGCAAUUUUUAUUUUUUAAAAAGGUCUUAACUUUCCUGAGAUUCUCCUGUGGGAUUUCUUUUUUUAUUGUUUUCCUUUUCCAAUUUACUGGGACUUAAAUAAUGCUAAAUUUGGUUAUGGGCGAGAGCCAGUGGAGGGAUUUUAUUAACUUGGUCUUACUCUCAGCAAUUUAUAGAGUCCCAAUCACAAGGUCUUGUGUUCUCACCUAUUUUGUAUGCUCAGUUUAAACUCAGUUCAUUAAAAUUUUGUAGAAGCCACGAAGUUUGCAAAUGAUUGGAAAUCAAGAUUGAAAAAACAAGAGAGACAAUCCUUCUGAGUCUGCCCUUACAGGGGAGUCACUCCCAGUAACCAAAAAUCUUGGUGAUGGAGUAUACUCUGUUUCAAUGUGUAAACAAGGUGCAAUUGAAGGAGUUGUUAUUGCAACUGGAGUACAUACCUUAUUUGGAAAGGCAGUUCAUCUUGUGGAAACUACUACAAUCAUUGGACAUUUUCAACAGAUAAUUUCAGCAUAUUAUUUUGGAUGAAAUCUUCACUUAGAAUCUCAAAGGCUGGAAGAAUGUUUAGAGCUGUAAUAUUUCUAAACAGUUUCAUAUUUUCUGCUUGGAGGUCGUAACUGCAAUGGGAAAUUUCUGUAUUUGCUCAAUUGCCAUUGGGCUGGUAAUGGAAAUCAUUGUCAUAUAUGGGAUUCAACACAGGGGUAAUCAUGUUGGGAUAGAUAAGCUUCUUGUUUUACUCAUCGGUGGCAUCCCCAUUUCUAUGCCAACAAUUCUUUCUAUUACAAGCUAACUGUGGACAAGUCACAAGAAUAUGAUAGAGUGCCAUCUCUGCUGCCACCACAUACAAGCUCACCACCGGCGUGGCGUAUCUAGAUUUAUAUGGCAAGCUCUGAGAAAUGGCUAAGGUUCAAGUACUUAAAAGACAAAUUGGCUCUGUUGAGGAGAUAAAAGGAGCAACAAAACCAACAUACAUUUGAAGGCAUAAAUACACUAUGAAAAUGGCUCUACUUGACUACAUGCAAAGAUAUGGUGACAAUACUAAAAGUCCUACCAGCCCCUCUUUGAGGCUUCUCCAAGGUUCAAAGUGGUUGCCUACCUCCUCAUCUCCUACAUUUCGAAAGGAUCUUGACCCAGAAGGAACAAGUUUAUCAUUACAAGAAAUCAGUUCCCACCAAAUUGAAGAAGGCCAAGAAUUUGACAUGCUCUCAGCUUGAAGAAACAUAAUCAGGAUUUUAGCGCCACACCUUCUUGGGUUGUCAGGUUGGAUGAUGAUGAAGAUGAAGAAGAUGCUGAAUUCUUUGGAGCCCCAGCAUUUGAAUCAAAGCUGGCUCCUGAGGGUUACAAGGAAACCACUAGACAUAAUCCAAGAGCAAUACAUAAGAAUUUUGGGAAGCAUGUUUUGGAAAGCACUGUCAAUCUUACUAUUAAAAAGAAAGACAGAUGCCUACAAAUCUUAAAAGGACAUUAACUGAAAAUUUGGCAUCAGCUUUUGCCGCGGUAUCAGAAAUUCAGAGUGCUUUCCACAAAUCUAUUCUAUCUCUGUUGCUAUUGAAAGAGGAAAGCAAGAUAAUAAGGCUGAGCAAAUAUGGGUAAUGUUGUUUCAGUGAAGGAGUAUCUAAUGCAUAAGCUUGAGCCCAGGGAAGAUGUGCUUUCUCCAGUGAUAUCCAAGGCAAUGAAUCCAAAAGGAACUCCUGGUGAUAUGGAUGUGGUAUGAGAGACGCUGCGACUUUGCUCCAACAUGAGGAAUUGUCCAAAUACACGGCUAUGGGUUCAGUUAGAAAUACAACAUCGCCCAUGUCAAUUUCCACCCAUGUGCAUUCAGCUGAAGACUCACCAUCACACACUCAGAUCUCAGCCAAUGCUCAUAAAAAAAAAAAAUUUAUGUCAAUUUGGAUCCUGAAUGUAUAUGGAGGCGUGUUAGUGAGCUUCAAUCAGUGUUUGACUUCCAUGUAUCGAUGCUAAAAACCAUCACCAUCUAACAUGCAUGAUCUGAUACUAAUUAUUCUAUUGAAAUUCCUUUCUACAACCUGUGGUAACCAUGGGGCAAAUUUAUGUCGAUAUUUAGUUAUCUGAACAAGGCCUUGACCAUGUUAUGGAUUCCGUGUGCUAUGGUGUAAUUUCUCUUUUUGGUAUUAUAAUUCAUAUCUCAUGGAUAUUUCUCGUC